CGUGGAGCAACAGUGGCGUGCAACCCGCUGAUCUGGACUCCUCCCGCUACAAUGUUGUCUAAACAACGAUUUACAACAACAUCCACAGCUACAGGGGAAAAGGGAGAGAAGAAGAAAGCAUAUUGAUAUGGUCAGGGUGAACAGCUCCAGACUAUCUAACCUUUCCUCGUGACCGAAGUUCUCUAGAUCCUCAUUAGCACUUCCUUUAUUGUGGUACACAGAACAAUGGUAUUUCAAUGGAACUGGAGCACAGUGCCUGGCCACCACUAUAAUUUAGUGCAAGAAGAUGUACGAUGAAUUUUUCUCACGACACAUUUGGAAAGUACCUGCAUAGUGUUUAAUCACUGCCAGUAUCAGCGUAAGGAAUACAGCAGGUCCACUGGGGAGGCUCCAACACCAUGCCCUUCCUGAUCAAGAUGACAAAAUCCACAAUAAAGUCAUCUCUGAGCAGCACAGCAAAGAGACACUCCUUCCAUUUCAGCACCAAUUCAUCAUUUAGAUCCUGCUACUUGCUGACCAAUCGUCCUGCACUUUAGCUUGGCUGACUUGAACUGGCUUCCGUUAGAUAAAUUUAUCUUCAAAUUGCAAAAACAAACUCAAAAACAAAUUCAAAAACACUUGGCAGCAAGAGUGUGUUAGAGAGAAAAAAAAGUUUAAAAAAAAAAGGGAGGUGCAAAUUGAUAUGACUUUCCAAUGGAACCACAGCAAAAGAAGCAACACUUCUAGGCUAGGCAUAGUGCGAUCAAACAUCCCCUCUGCUUUUAACAGUGUAACUCAGUCCCAACCUUAAUGUUCUGCACAAGUGCAAUCAGGUCAGUGUUUCAAUGAACUGCCUAAAAGGACA
Hypanus sabinus (Atlantic stingray) is the source of this 844-nucleotide long non-coding RNA. RefSeq lists it as uncharacterized. NCBI's taxonomy places the organism in Eukaryota, Metazoa, Chordata, Chondrichthyes, Myliobatiformes, Dasyatidae. The transcript is spliced from 4 exons. The record is from RefSeq and is a predicted model, not a curated record.